This 600-nucleotide ribosomal RNA is filed under the name Planococcus sp. CY-C2-20. RNAcentral's name for it is "bacterial SSU rRNA". It matches the Rfam family "Bacterial small subunit ribosomal RNA", at positions 94 to 681 of the family's 1533-position model. Lineage: Bacteria; Bacillati; Bacillota; Bacilli; Caryophanales; Caryophanaceae. The record is from RNAcentral.
AGCGGCGGACGGGUGAGUAACACGUGGGCAACCUGCCCUGCAGAUCGGGAUAACUCCGGGAAACCGGUGCUAAUACCGAAUAGUUUGCGGCCUCUCCUGAGGCUGCACGGAAAGACGGUUUCGGCUGUCACUGCAGGAUGGGCCCGCGGCGCAUUAGCUAGUUGGUGGGGUAAUGGCCCACCAAGGCGACGAUGCGUAGCCGACCUGAGAGGGUGAUCGGCCACACUGGGACUGAGACACGGCCCAGACUCCUACGGGAGGCAGCAGUAGGGAAUCUUCCGCAAUGGACGAAAGUCUGACGGAGCAACGCCGCGUGAGUGACGAAGGUUUUCGGAUCGUAAAACUCUGUUGUGAGGGAAGAACACGUACCAGCUAACUACUGGUACCUUGACGGUACCUCACCAGAAAGCCACGGCUAACUACGUGCCAGCAGCCGCGGUAAUACGUAGGUGGCAAGCGUUGUCCGGAAUUAUUGGGCGUAAAGCGCGCGCAGGCGGUCCUUUAAGUCUGAUGUGAAAGCCCACGGCUCAACCGUGGAGGGUCAUUGGAAACUGGAGGACUUGAGUGCAGAAGAGGAAAGUGGAAUUCCAUGUGUAGCGG